The sequence is a ribosomal RNA, 790 nucleotides long. It matches the Rfam family "Bacterial large subunit ribosomal RNA", at positions 1 to 814 of the family's 2925-position model.
AAUUAAGCUACAAAGGGCAUACGGUGGAUGCCUUGGCAUUGAGAGUCGAUGAAGGACGCGGUAAGCUGCGAAAAGGUAUGGGGAGCCGCAAGCAGGCAAUGAUCCAUACAUCUCCGAAUGGGGCAACCCGGCACGAGUCAUGUCGUGCCAUCCUACGGGAGGAUAACCCGGUGAACUGAAACAUCUAAGUAGCCGGAGGAAAAGUAAUCAAACGAGAUUCCCAUAGUAGCGGCGAGCGAACAGGGAAGAGCCCAAACCCGCUGUCUUCGGACAGCGGGGGUUGAGGACCGGCAUAAAUCAAAGGAAAGUCAGAAGAAGGGCAUGGGAAGGCCCGGCACAGAGGGUGAGACCCCCGUAUUUGAAGGCUUUUCGAGAGGGCCGGCAUCCAGAGUACCACGAGACACGUGAAACCUUGUGGGAAGCAGGGUGGACCACCAUCCAAGGCAAAAUACUACUCAAUGACCGAUAGCGCAUAGUACCGUGAGGGAAAGGUGAAAAGUACCCCUGGAGGGGAGUGAAAUAGAACCUGAAACCGUAUGUCUACAAGCAGUCGGAGCACUUUAUAUGUGCGACGGCGUGCCUAUUGAAGAAUGAACCGGCGAGUUAUCCGUUGUGGCGAGGUUAAGCGGGAGACGCGGAGCCGAAGCGAAAGCGAGUCUUAAGAGGGCGAAUAGUCACAGCGGGUAGACCCGAAACCACAGUGAUCUAUGCAUGGCCAGGCUGAAGCUCAGGUAAAAAUGAGUGGAGGGCCGAACCCGUGAGUGUUGAAAAACUUUGGGAUGAGCUGUGC